GAUGAAGAACGCAGCGAAAUGCGAUAAGUAAUGUGAAUUGCAGAAUUCAGUGAAUCAUCGAAUCUUUGAACGCACAUUGCGCCCAUUAGCAUUCUAGAGGGCAUGCCUGUUCGAGCGUCAUUUCAACCCUUAAGCCCUGUUGCUUAGCGUUGGGAGCCUACAGUACUGUAGCUCCCCAAAGUUAGUGGCGGAGUCGGUUUCACACUCUAGACGUAGUAAUUUUUUCUCGUCUGUAGUUGAGCCGGUCCCCUGCCGUAAAACACCCAAUUUAUCAAGGUUGACCUCGGAUCAGGUAGGAAUACCCGCUGAACUUAAGCAUAUCAAUAAGCGGAGGA
This 335-nucleotide unclassified non-coding RNA is filed under the name soil metagenome. RNAcentral's name for it is "partial contains 5.8S ribosomal RNA, internal transcribed spacer 2, and large subunit ribosomal RNA". The stretch from base 1 to 120 matches the Rfam family "5.8S ribosomal RNA", at positions 35 to 154 of the family's 154-position model. The record is from RNAcentral.